AAAACUAAUAAACAAUAACCCUAAAGAUCCUAUUUAUAUGAUAGGAAUUAUAAUUCAAAAGGAAACUAAAUAACAAAAUACUAGGAAACUAAAUUCAAAUAAAUACAAAAUAAUAUCCAUAGAUAUCUCUGCAUCAUACUCCCCGUCUUCAGAGAAAACUCGUCCUCGAGUUUUGUCUUCGAACCAAAGCCACCCGGAUCAAAAGGAACAUCAACUUGAUUCCUUAUUAUCACGACCCACCUAAACAAUUCAACUUCAUAGAUCAUAUCGCCCGACUCUAUAAUUGUGCCACCUGGGUCGAAUGGAGCACUGGACCAUCUCAUGUUCACUUGCACUUCAUGUUCAUGCACGUUCAUUUGACUAGACCCAAAUUGGAAGUUUAUUAUUCAAUAAGCUGCGUCCAAAAUUAUUUUUCUUGUGUUGUAUAAAUGCCCAUGUGAUCGAUAACUUAUUUUCACCGCCAUGUUAGAAAAAUUAAUGAAUCAUUGUGUUUGAGCCAUUUGAUCGCACGCGAAACUGUCGUGUUCAAUUCACAAGAUCACAAGAUCCAGGAAACUGACCCAAAGGAUGUCAUCUGGGAUGAGAUUGUUCGGAAAGAGGAACAUCCUAAAGACUGCGAUGGUUACAAGUUUCAGGAAACCGACUCAGACGCUUUCUUCCGGGAUGAGAACUGUGAGAAGAAGGAGUAUCCUGGAAAUUGUAACGUUAUCUAUUCGUCACCUCCUUGUUAUGAUGAAUACGAGGACGGGGAAUGGUAUUCUUGGAUGACCGGGUGUGCAAUCGAAACCUUGGAAGUCCGUCAGAUAAGCAAUGUCAAAUUCAGGAAAGUUGAUGAGUUUAUCUAUCCGUCACCUCCCGUGUAUGAUGUAUACAGGGAUGAGGAAUGGUAUUCCUGGGUUGCCGGUAGUGGGCAAAUUUUACUGGGUGGAAAGCUUGUUGAUGUAGGAGAAGACGUAGUGGAUGAUGAUUUGAAGAUUGCUAUUAAUUUUAAUGAGUUUUUAUCUGGUGAAAAUCUAGGGGAUGCGGUGGUUAUUGGUGGCGUUGGGCUGGGUGAUGUGAUAGCUUCUGCCUCUGGUGGUUCUAUGGUGGUGAUAGGUCGUUCGAUGGCUAGCGGUGGGUCUCAAUCACAAUUAAAGGUAAACACUUCUUUCGUGUAGGAAAUAAAGGGUUUCCAAAAGGAAGGUAAUUUGGUCAAAUCUCUUGAUUUAGCGGAAGUUCAAAAGGUAAGCGAUAUUCCGAUUAAAAAGAAAAUAUUGAUUUCAAAAGGUCAAAUAAGGAGGUCCAAUAAGAAAACUAGGAAUAUUAUAAUAAUUUUGAUGGUGGAUAUACCUAAAGACAUGGAUUACAUGGAAUCCAUGAAUGGAAUUCAAGAUGAUUUGGAGCCACAAAAAUGUUUUCCCUUUGGUUUGCAAAUAGUCACCAGAUUAACUAUGGUUAGUGGUGUAACACCCCAAAACGGGAAUUAUAUGAAAAUGAGUAAAAAAAAGAGAGAGAGAGAGAGUUAAAAGAAUUAACUUAGUUGGUGUAAUGUGUAAAAAUGCUAGACAAAUGAUAAUAGGUGACUAAGUUAAAUAAAUGAACAAUCAAGAAGGGCCAAAUGUGAAAAUAGUGAAACUCCAAAUAUUAAAAAGAAAAAUAAAAGAAAAGAUACACAGUGUGUGUAUCUAUCUGGAGAUCGAUCAGGACAGGGAGGAACAAAGGGUUUAACCCUAAUUGCUAAUUCAGCCAAAUUAGGAGGAAAUCUCAAAGCUAAUUCAUUGCAUGAACUCAAGUUUCGAUCAUCUAAGCUAAUAUAGCUGAAUGGCGUGAAGGAAGAGGGUUCAAGUACUAAGAAAUCGGAAGGCUCACAGGAUCGAGGAUGAAAUCUUGUCAAUUGACUCAAGCAUGGAUGGCAAACAUGGUAAGAGGAAGCGAUGAAGCAAGCAUGAACAUGGACGCUAAAGUUUGGAAAGCAUUAACCGUCGCAAAGUAUGAAUAACGAGUCAAAAGAUUUGACCCGCGCCAGGUACGUAUAAAAAGAUUAUAUUUUCAAUAAGAGCUUAGGGCUCGAUUAGAGACUGACGUGUCAGAACAAGAUAACUGAUACCCAUAUGUAAGAAUGUAUUUACAAUUAGACUUCCGAAAAGUCAAACGAAGUAAAUGAAGUCCUUGCAAUAAUGCAAGUAUAAGGUACGAACGUGUACCCCGAUGCGACCACAAUAAGUAAGGGGGAUGUUAGUCCGACCUUAAAAAGGUCAAACUGCAAAAGUCGACGAAAUAACCAAUAAAAUGAAAUGAUAGUAUGUAAGGAAUGGAAUGUAUGAUAUGUUUUAACAUGUACAUAAGAAAAUUGUGAAAGAGACAAUCGGCGACCAAACACCCUGUGGGACGCAAAUAUGAAAGGUUAUGUGCUAACUAUUAUUUAUAGAUAAAUAUGAUGAAAUUCUUAGCGAGAUGAUAGUAAUGAAGCUAGUGGAAGGAUGCUCACGAGUGGGAGCAUAUUUCAUGAAUGAAUGAGACCAAUCUGGUAUGGAAGGUACAUAUAAAGAAGCGGAUCGAUCCGGCACACGGAUAACUGACUUAUGCAUUGAAGGCGAGGCGUGAAGGAAGAGGGUUCAAGUACUAAGAAAUCGGAAGGCUCACAGGAUCGAGGUAAAUACUCAAUUUAGGCGACUUGGAGAAUUGGAGCGAGCACAUGUUCAUGAUAUGUCAUACCAAACGCUUCCGCUAGUUGCACUUAUGUUUUGGGUCAAAUUUCCAUUUUGUACAACUUGUUAGUAGUCGUAUAUUUUAAAACUUGUUGCCUUUGUUUUCGGUAGUAUUAUGUCAAACGGAUCAUAAGAUGUUAAUUAGUUUGAUUAUGUUCAAAACAGGGGCAUGCUCGUUUUUGGACGGGUCAUGCCCAAAUUUUGUAAAAAUUAUGCAUCAAGUUGGUACUUUUGAUGUCUUUAAGUUACUCUUGUAAGACAUUCUAUAAUUACGCAAAAAGGGACAUUACAAGUGGACCUCUUCUGAAUCCAUCUAAUUUUUCUAACAUGGCGGUGAAAAUAAGUUAUCGAUCACAUGGGCAUUUAUACAACACAAGAAAAAUAAUUUUGGACGUAGCUUAUCGAAUAAUAAACUUGGAUCCACAAAUCCAAUUUGGGUCUAGUCAAAUAAACGUUCAUGAACAUGAAGUGCAAGUGAACAUGAGAUGGUCCAGUGCUCCAUUCGACCCAGGUGGAACAAUUAUAGCCCAACUCUAGCAUUCGAUGAUGCAGUUGAUUUCUUAGGUAUGUUUGUUACAAUGCAGUAUUAUACUCAUGGUUGCAAAAGUCGCUAAAUUGUUUAUUGUUAAAAUGAUUUCUUAAAUUUGUUACUUGGUUUUUUUCUUUUCUUAACGGCAUAACUGUUUGAGUAAUUUUUAAUGACUUUGGUAUGUUUUAUAGAUUUGUUAUAUUAACUAGGUCAACAAUUCCCAUCAUUGAUAAGAGCAAGGAAGAAGCAAAUGACACGUAAUUUUUUCUUUCUUUUUUUUUUUCAAUUGCUUGGGUCUGUUCUUCCCAAAUUGAGAAAUUUUCUUAUUAUAUUCUUAGAUUUGUUAUAUUAACUAGGCCAACAAUUCCCAUCAUUGAUGAGAGCUAGGAAGAAGCAAAUGACACGUAAUUUUUUUUUUCAAUUGCUAGGGCCUGUUCCUCCCAAAUUGAGAAAUUUUCUAAUUAUAUUCUAAGAGAUUUGAUAUAAUAAGUGACAUUUCAAUUUCAGGACAUGGAUUCAUGUUUAUCAUCUUAUUUUUGAGACAAGUCAUCGAUUUAAUGCAGAUAGUGUCUUCUUCUCGAAGUGGCAUUUCGUCGAACAACUUCAGGUAUAUGUUAGAAUGACACUCAAAUUGGUCAAAAACAACUAUUGAACCUUCGAGACUGAUAGAUUUCUAAGUGAUGGCUUUCCAAGAUGUUAGAGCACAUUUUUUUGCAGAUAUGGAAUCUGAGAUCUCAAGUGAAGUUUACCAUUCUCUGCGCUUGCGCAAGAGCUCUAAGCCACCUAUUAGUUGAAAAGGCAAAUUUGUUGUGUAGAUCUUGUUGGUUCUGUGCGUGUUCACAAGUCAGGUGUAAAGAUGGAAGCCACAACGAUAUAAUGCGUAGAGAGCAUGCGGGUGUUCAUGAAACAUUCCACACAUAUUCGCUUUUGUACAUUGUUUCUUGGUGUCUUAUUUGAGCCGACUAUCUGUGUUUUUUAUGUUUUAGUAAUCAACAAUUCACUUAGAGACUUCAUGCAAUCUAAGUUGUUGAAAUUGUAUCCAACCUUUCUUUUUUAUUUUA
Molecule: long non-coding RNA, 4277 nt
Organism: Helianthus annuus (common sunflower)
Lineage: Eukaryota; Viridiplantae; Streptophyta; Magnoliopsida; Asterales; Asteraceae
Exons: 7
Source: RefSeq, a predicted model, not a curated record